UACGUAGGGGGCAAGCGUUUGUCCGGAUUUAUUGGGCGUAAAGAGCGUGUAGGCGGUUAUACAGGUCCGCUGUGAAAACUGGAGGCUUAACCUCCAGACGUCGGUGGAAACCGUAUGACUAGAGUCCGGAAGAGGAGAGUGGAAUUCCUGGUGUAGCGGUGAAAUGCGCAGAUAUCGGGAAGAACACCCGUGGCGAAGGCGGCUCUCUGGGACGGUACUGACGCUGAGACGCGAAAGCGUGGGGAGCGAACAGG
Molecule: ribosomal RNA, 254 nt
Filed under: uncultured bacterium
Lineage: Bacteria
Description: partial 16S ribosomal RNA
Rfam family: Bacterial small subunit ribosomal RNA
Source: RNAcentral